This 500-nucleotide ribosomal RNA is filed under the name uncultured bacterium. Its description in RNAcentral is "partial 16S ribosomal RNA". It matches the Rfam family "Bacterial small subunit ribosomal RNA", at positions 30 to 523 of the family's 1533-position model. The record is from RNAcentral.
AUUGAACGCUGGCGGCAUGCUUUACACAUGCAAGUCGAACGGUAACAGGGUGCUUGCACCGCUGGCGAGUGGCGAACGGGUGAGUAAUGCGUCGGAACGUGCCGAGUAGUGGGGGAUAACGCAGCGAAAGUUGUGCUAAUACCGCAUACGUACUGAGGUAGAAAGUGGGGGACCUUCGGGCCUCACGCUACUCGAGCGGCCGACGUCUGAUUAGCUAGUAGGUGAGGUAAAGGCUCACCUAGGCGACGAUCAGUAGCGGGUCUGAGAGGAUGAUCCGCCACACUGGGACUGAGACACGGCCCAGACUCCUACGGGAGGCAGCAGUGGGGAAUUUUGGACAAUGGGCGAAAGCCUGAUCCAGCAAUGCCGCGUGUGUGAAGAAGGCCUUCGGGUUGUAAAGCACUUUUGUCCGGAAAGAAAUGGCUCUGGUUAAUACCUGGGGUCGAUGACGGUACCGGAAGAAUAAGGACCGGCUAACUACGUGCCAGCCGCCGCAGUAA